GCCCUGCCGUAGGCCGUCCUGCACGCCUAGUGGCAGCAAUGGCGGACGUGUCCGAGAGGAAGCUGCAGUUGUCCGUGCUGUUGGCCUUCGCCUCCGGAGUGCUCGUGGGCUGGCAGGCGAACCGGCUGCGGAGGCGCUACCUGGACUGGAGGAAGCGGAGACUGCAGGACAAGCUGGCGGUGACGCAGAAAAAGCUGGAUCUGUCCUGAGCCCGGUGCCGUCGGCCCCCCGCACUGCCACCUAGCCUUCGCCGGCGCGGGGGCACCUCCUGAGCCAGGCUUGCCUCACAGUCCCCGCCUGCCAAGCCAAGCUCCUCCCGAAGUGGCGCUUGUCGAAGAUGGAUAUAGAGCAUGGACCGAAAUCAUUUCUCCUUGCACUUUCUGAAUCAGUUUUAUUUUUAAAAUAAAAAUAUUUUAAACCUUUUUGAACCUUUUUUAUUAAAAGUAAAAUUGGCAUUGAGGAGGUUGGGAAAUUCCUGCCAUGCAGUUUACUGCAUCAAGAGGCCUGGACCCUCAAAACUGAUAUAUUUGUGUUUUUGAGCAGAGUUUCUUAAGGAAUCUAUGCUAGUUCCUUGGUACGACUACAAAGCAGGGUUGGCCUGGGGACCAUUAUGAGUCAUUUUGGUCAAUUGUUUUACUGCACCUGUUCAGGAAAGCAAGGAGCUGUGUAAAAAUAACUGAGGUAAGGGUGAUAUGUGUAAGACCUUUGAACUGCUUAGAGUGAUAGCAUUUUCCCAGCAGAGUGUAACUUUUUAUUGACAAAAAUUUCAUUGGUGUCAUUGAGUACACAUAUGAAGGAGAAACCCUCUUAAAAAGAGCUUAGUGACAAACCCCAACUGAAUCUGGAAAUCAAGAGUGAGUGACGAAGUCCCUGGUGAUUUUUCAUUUCCUAAGCUUUUAAUGGUCACCUUUCCAUCCACCUCUGAUUAGAACACCGCCCUUGCUUAUUCCUGUAAAGAUCAAUUUUGUGUCUUAGCACAUUUAAUAGCAGCACCAUGUUAACUUAAGACAAUUCAGAGAAGCUGUUUCCACGGAAAACUUUUUAUUUUUCCCAAAAUGCUUUGUUACUUUUGGUGUGGGAGGUGGAGGUGAAUAGGGUCUAGAAGGAAGGGAAGACUACCAGGGUGCUGGUAAUGUCCUGUAUCCUAAUCUGAGUAAUGUCACAUGGAAGUGUGUUCAGUGUGUAAAUUCAGAGAGUGAACGCUUGUCUGUUACAUGUCUUUACAUUGAAGAUGAAAGGACACAGCAUGGCAGUUGGGCCUGUGGUACUGAAGAACAUUCCUUUAUUAUUAGUGUGCUUCAUCAUUUGAAAUGCGAGCUCAGUUCAUCAUCAUUCUUCAGUGUAGUGGAAACACUCUGGGAAUUGGAUUUAUAGAAUUCAGUCCCAUUUGGGGAAAUGUUAUUACAGUCUCCCUGAGAGUAGGCAUACAGUGGAACCAUAAUUAUUUGCUCACAGGCUCGCUGCAGAACACACAGAAUCACCAUCUUCACGGAACUCAGGAUGGACAAUAUACAAAACGAACGAAAUGAAACUUCAACACCCCAAGUGGCAAAGAACUAACAACUGCCUUUUGAAAUGAGAGUAUGCAACAGAACCAUGUAUCUCAUGAAGGCAAUAUUGGAAAGCUACCUUUGCAGUUACUUUAACAAUUUAAGAUGCUUAAGUGGUAUGUUAAGGUCACUUUAGCAAACUGGCACCAGAAAACCAAUGCCGGAACACCGAGUGCCCCAGCAGGCGUAGACUGCGGUACCAAGCGACGUGCAGUUUCAGGCGCGGCAGGCGUUCCCCAAUCUCCACCCUGGUGCUUUGGAUUGGCCCCGGAAGAAACGAGUACCUGGACAGGGAGUCCGAGAACUUCGGGCCCGCGACACAAGAUGAGCCCCGCACUCACCAGCCAGCCAGUCACGAGGGGUCGACCUGAUGACGUCAUCUGGUGACGUCACUACCGGGGCCACCGCCGCGGUGAAGCAGGCACCCACAAACACUCUCCAGGGUAUAAGGUACAGCAUUUCUGGAAAACAAUUUUUAGCAAACAUUCAUUCUCCUAGGCUGGGUGAUUACAUUUCCAAGGAUUCAUAAUAAAAAAAAUUAUUCAUAAUAAAUAAUUAUUCAUAAUAAAAAAUUGGGACAGAUAUGUAUAAACGUGUUCAUCCCAGUAUUAUAUUAGAAAAGACUGGAUACGACUUACAUGAUCAGUAAUAGGGGAAUGGAUACACAUGAUGGGAUAGAAUACUGUGAUUAAAAUUUUGUUAGAGAUUUUAAUGUUAGGGAAAAUAUUUGUGGUAAAAUGUCAGUUUAGAAAAAAUAUAAAGUUAAACAUGCAUAUUUCAAUACAUUUUUUAUAUAUGUAAAAAAAUAAGGAAAAAUGCUAGAGUGGUAACUGGUAGCAUCCUGAUUGAUGAUUCUUAUGUUUCUCUUCAUACUUCUUGAUAUUUUCAUAAUUUUGAACACCAAAUGCAUAUUACUUUUAAAAAUAAGAAAGUAUGUAGUAAUUAAUGGGUUGUUAAUUUAUUUUCUGAAACUCUUAUUUCACUUUGCUAAUUUUACUUUUUAAUUUUCAUAUGAUCCAUUACCAAGUGUUUCCACUAAAUAAAAUAAUUUUGUAAUCUUCGGUAGACAAGAGAUUUACCGAAUGUUCAUACUGUAUCCAGUUUUGGACUCUCGUUUGAAAAACACCCAAGAUUUGAUGGAUAGAUUUUUCUUAAGUGACUCUAUUGGAAUUAUAGUGGUGUAACAAAAACAAAAUACUCUUCUGGUAGAAAUAAAAUAAAACUCGACAAGGCAUUGAUUUAAGCUGAGCUUUGGCCAGCUGAUUAAUAUGGUUCUGUAUCUAAUUUUGAAUUUAGUUGGGCAUUGAAAGAACCAGGAAAAAAUUUGAGAAGUAAACUACAGAAAUUGUUAUUAAAACAAAGAUGAAACAAUAAAUUAUGACAAGGACUACUA
Hipposideros armiger (great roundleaf bat) is the source of this 2943-nucleotide long non-coding RNA. RefSeq lists it as uncharacterized. The transcript is spliced from 2 exons. NCBI's taxonomy places the organism in Eukaryota, Metazoa, Chordata, Mammalia, Chiroptera, Hipposideridae. The record is from RefSeq and is a predicted model, not a curated record.